ACUUCAACUGCAGUUAAUACAUCUUGCAAGGGAUCGUGAUCCUCUUCAUGUUCAACAGGACCCUUGUUGAGAUCAGGCAGCUUGUCUCCUUCCUCCUCUGGUACUGUGUUUAAGUCUAUUGCCAUGGAAGAUGGAUGAGAGGUGAAUGAAGAUGGAUGAGAAGUGAAUGGUUCAAAUGAGAAGGUAAAGAAGGUGUUCCAGAGAAAUGGCGCUGGGUUCAAAUUUCAGAUUGCUUUUGAUGUGAAUAAAUGGAGCGCAAGACUAGAUUUGGUUUUGGCUUUGAGUGCUAUUUGCCGUCAAAUGUAAUUCAUGUUUUGCUGUUCUUUUGAUUUGUUUAAAGCAAAAACACUGUACUACAUGUUUUAAUGUGAAAAAGUGGAUGUGACCAGUGGUUUGUCUAAUGGGAAAAAUAUUAUGCUC
RNAcentral lists this long non-coding RNA (420 nucleotides) under Setaria italica (foxtail millet). Its description in RNAcentral is "long non-coding RNA (SITA_LNC000421)". Lineage: Eukaryota; Viridiplantae; Streptophyta; Magnoliopsida; Poales; Poaceae. The record is from RNAcentral.